Molecule: ribosomal RNA, 702 nt
Filed under: uncultured beta proteobacterium
Lineage: Bacteria; Pseudomonadati; Pseudomonadota; Betaproteobacteria
Description: bacterial SSU rRNA
Rfam family: Bacterial small subunit ribosomal RNA
Source: RNAcentral
AUUGAACGCUGGCGGCAUGCUUUACACAUGCAAGUCGAACGGCAGCACGACGUGUAGCAAUACACGUUGGUGGCGAGUGGCGAACGGGUGAGUAAUACAUCGGAACGUGUCCAGUAGUGGGGGAUAACCAAUCGAAAGAUUGGCUAAUACCGCAUACGAUCUACGGAUGAAAGCGGGGGACCCGCAAGGGCCUCGCGCUAUUGGAGCGGCCGAUGUCCGAUUAGCUAGUUGGCGGGGUAACGGCCCACCAAGGCGACGAUCGGUAGCUGGUCUGAGAGGAUGAUCAGCCACACUGGAACUGAGACACGGUCCAGACUCCUACGGGAGGCAGCAGUGGGGAAUUUUGGACAAUGGGCGCAAGCCUGAUCCAGCCAUGCCGCGUGAGUGAAGAAGGCCUUCGGGUUGUAAAGCUCUUUCGGCGGGGACGAAACGGUCCGUGCUAACACCGCGGACUAAUGACGGUACUCGCAGAAGAAGCACCGGCUAACUACGUGCCAGCAGCCGCGGUAAUACGUAGGGUGCAGGCGUUAAUCGGAAUUACUGGGCGUAAAGCGUGCGCAGGCGGCUCCUUAAGUCAGAUGUGAAAGCCCCGGGCUUAACCUGGGAACUGCGUUUGAAACUGGGGUAGCUAGAGUGUGGAAGAGGGGGGUGGAAUUCCAGGUGUAGCAGUGAAAUGCGUAGAGAUCUGGAGGAACACCGAUG